GAUGAACGCUGGCGGCGUGCCUAACACAUGCAAGUCGAACGGGGUUAUAUUGAGGAAGUUUUCGGAUGGAAUCGAUAUAACCUAGUGGCGGACGGGUGAGUAACGCGUGGGUAACCUGCCUCAUACAGGGGGAUAACAGCUGGAAACGGCUGCUAAAACCGCAUAAGCAUACAGUACCGCAUGGUACGGUGUGAAAAUAUUUAUAGGUAUGGGAUGGGCCCGCGUCUGAUUAGCUAGUUGGUGGGGUAAGAGCCUACCAAGGCGACGAUCAGUAGCCGGCUUGAGAGAGUGACCGGCCACAUUGGGACUGAGACACGGCCCAAACUCCUACGGGAGGCAGCAGUGGGGAAUAUUGCACAAUGGGGGAAACCCUGAUGCAGCGACGCCGCGUGAGUGAAGAAGUAUUUCGGUAUGUAAAGCUCUAUCAGCAGGGAAGAAAAUGACGGUACCUGACUAAGAAGCCCCGGCUAACUACGUG
RNAcentral lists this ribosomal RNA (478 nucleotides) under uncultured organism. RNAcentral's name for it is "bacterial SSU rRNA". It matches the Rfam family "Bacterial small subunit ribosomal RNA", at positions 28 to 507 of the family's 1533-position model. The record is from RNAcentral.